AAACAUCAAUUAAGAGCAAAAUACUUUUAUGCUAACCCCAACAAAGGAACAACAGACGAAGGGUAAUUUAACUGAAUAUUGCUCUUCAGUCUUUAGUAAAUCUUUCACGAAGAAACAUUAAAUAUGGUGGUGCAACAAAGUUUAAAAAUACUAAAUAGAAUCAAACCCAGGCUUCUAUUGGCAAUUUCCUUUGCAACUUAUCAUCCUACAAAUGAACCAAUUUGGCAACGUAUUUUAAUUCGAGCUUCGUACAUAUCAACAAUCUUAUGUUUGAUUUCUACAAUAUUGCAUGUAAAAAACGCAUUUGAAGGACAACUUACGCAAAACAUUGCAAUAUCAUUAAUUUUUGUUACUGGAUGUAUACAAGUACUGUCAAAAAGCAUAUUAGAGCGGUAUCAUCGAAAUGAUGUACUUGAACUACUGGAAAAGGUUCAAUCACUACACAAUUUCGAGAAUGACAACUUAAAUUCUAUUGCAGAAAAAAAUCUAAAAAAGUUCAGAACCAUUUGGAUAAUUUGCCACAAAAUAGAAAAAACAAUACUAACAAUAACUGUGUUUGCCUUUUCAAUUUUUAAUGCUAUUAAUGGAAAAUCUGGAGUAUUUGUUCAAGUACCAUGGAUUCCUACUGACUUUCCCUAUUACACAGAAAUUACAUUAUUCAUACAAUUUCUAUUUGGUGCAUCUGCAACGUCAUCUGUCUUUUUUACAGAUAUGUCCUUAGCUUUUUUCGGUUUUGAAAUUAUGGCAGCAUCAGACAUUCUCUAUGAUUAUAUUUCCGCAAACAAAGAUCGGAUUCAGGAAGAUCCAGACUUUCUCAAAAUUAUUACACUAAAAUACUGUGAUAUCGUGGACAAUAUCAACCGUUUUAACGACAUCAUCUCCUUAUCAAACCUCGUACAAUUUGUAACUAGUGCUUUUCUAAUGUUUGGAGUCUUUUUCUUCAUUCGUUUAAACCCACGAAAUCCAGUUGCACAUUUUAUGGCUACAAAUGUUCUCAUUCAAUUGUUCUUACCUUGUGUAUUUGGGGAAUUCGUUAAAAUCAAAAUGGAAAGGCUAUCGACAACUUUGUAUUUGACUAAUUGGCAUGAUUUCGAUUUGAGAAAUCAGAAGUCCUUUCUAAUUGUCCUGGGAAUGACUCAUGGAGAAUAUGGAUUAAGGGCUGCAGGGAUGUACGAUGUCAAUAUCUACACAUUCAUUAAGAUCGUGAAGAUGGCUUCAUCGUGGUGUGCAUUUAUCUUUACGCUAGAAAUCACCAAUGUUAAUGCAGUUUAAAAAAUAAUGAUUGCUUUAGAAAUUGUUAACACUUGUCACGUAUGAAUUAUAGAGGUUUCAUAAAUAAAAAAAAAUGCAGAAGUGGUAUCACAUUGAGUGCGGGAAAGCACGGUAUCUUAGGACGACUCCAGCUUCGAACAAUUCAUUGCACAGAAAAGAGCUAUAGCUAAAAUCCAUUAAAAUAAUAGAAAAAUGAGUUGUGCCGAGCUUGAGGCGUUCGAAGGUAGCGCGUUUUUCCCUAUUUAGGCUAAGCUAGGAUUCAAAAAGAUCAGUAGUUCUAUCUAGAACGCAGAAUUUCUCACAUUUAGUACUAUUUCACUUAAUAAAUUUUUAAUUGUGCA
RNA transcript from Phlebotomus papatasi, 1613 nucleotides. It is a transcript of the gene named odorant receptor 33a-like, with no coding region annotated. Lineage: Eukaryota; Metazoa; Arthropoda; Insecta; Diptera; Psychodidae. The record is from RefSeq and is a predicted model, not a curated record. The transcript has 3 exons.